GAAUAUUGGACAAUGGGGGGAACCCUGAUCCAGCCAUGCCGCGUGUGUGAAGAAGGCCUUUUGGUUGUAAAGCACUUUAAGCGAGGAGGAGGCUACUUAGAUUAAUACUCUAGGAUAGUGGACGUUACCCGCAGAAUAAGCACCGGCCAACUCUGUGCCAGCAGCCGCGGUAAUAAAGAGGGUGCAAGGGUUAAUCGGAUUUACUGGGGGUAAAGCGCUGGUAGGUGGCCAAUUAAGUCAAAUGUGAAAUCCCCGAGCUUACCUUGGGAAGUGCAUUCGAUACUGGUUGGCUAGAGUAUGGGAGAGGGUGGUAGAAUUCCAGGUGUAGCGGUGAAAUGCGUAGAGAUCUGGAGGAAUACCGAUGGCGAAGGCAGCCAUCUGGCCUAAUACUGACACUGAGGUGCGAAAGCAUGGGGAGCAAACA
This 424-nucleotide ribosomal RNA is filed under the name uncultured bacterium. RNAcentral describes it as "partial 16S ribosomal RNA". It matches the Rfam family "Bacterial small subunit ribosomal RNA", at positions 359 to 774 of the family's 1533-position model. The record is from RNAcentral.